Syzygium oleosum is the source of this 412-nucleotide long non-coding RNA. RefSeq lists it as uncharacterized. The transcript has 2 exons. NCBI's taxonomy places the organism in Eukaryota, Viridiplantae, Streptophyta, Magnoliopsida, Myrtales, Myrtaceae. The record is from RefSeq and is a predicted model, not a curated record.
GAAGCAAUGAGAAGCAUUCAGGUAGGGCUUCUCUGUGUGCAGGACCACACAAUGGACCGACCCAGCAUGUCAUCCAUAGUUCUGAUGCUGAGUGGCGACUUACAGAUCUCUGACAGGAAAAGGGAUUCAUUGAACAAAGGCAAUUAUUCAAGUGAACCUCUGAGAAUCUCUCAGUAUUCAAGUGAAUCCCUGAGAAUCAAGUUGACCUGUAUUUCGAAUAAGCGUGUCCAGGUUAGUUGGCGCGGCAUUUUCGGUACGAGCCAUAAGUUUUGUACCCCUUGACAGGGACUUGAUGACCACCAGCGGGAAGAUUGCCCUGAAACAAUUAGUUAUCUUUUGAAUGACAAAAGACUAAGCAACUCCUGGGAGGUUACAUGCGACCGACUAACCAGCCUUUCGAAAGACUUCUAGC